Long non-coding RNA from Neofelis nebulosa (Clouded leopard), 297 nucleotides. RefSeq lists it as uncharacterized. The record is from RefSeq and is a predicted model, not a curated record. Lineage: Eukaryota; Metazoa; Chordata; Mammalia; Carnivora; Felidae. The transcript is spliced from 2 exons.
CAGAGCAAUGGAUCACCUUCACAGUUUUAUGGAUCCCCUUUCCCAUAUCCAUUGGGCCCAUAUUAUGUACCAUUCCUGUAUCGAGGAUAUCCAUGGUAUCCAUAUAAUUUUCCUAUUCCAAUACCUCUGUCUGACCCUACAACUACACCUUCUAGUGGCCAGUAAAUAAGAAAAAAAAGUCCCACUGCAAUUUAAAAUGAAAUAGGUGGUCUCUACAAAGUUGAAUGUCAGCCACUUCCCUGAAGAGUCAAUAUUCCUGCUAAUAAAAUAAAAAUAAAUAUAACUGAAGUAGCAUCA